GCUACGGGGUGCAGCAGUGGGGAAUAUUGGACAAUGGGGGAAACCCUGAUCCAGCGACGCCGCGUGAGUGAAGAAGUAUUUCGGUACGUAAAGCUCUAUCAGCAGGAAAGAAAAUGACGGUACCUGACUAAGAAGCCCCGGCUAACUACGUGCCAGCAGCCGCGGUAAUACGUAGGGGGCAAGCGUUAUCCGGAUUUACUGGGUGUAAAGGGAGCGUAGACGGCAGCGCAAGUCUGGGGUGAAAUGCCGGGGCGCCACCCCGUAACUGCUCUGGAAACUGGGAAGACGGGUUGCAGGAGAGUUAAGCGGAAUUCCUGGUGUAGCGGUGAAAUGCGUAGAUAUCAGGAGGAACACCGGCGGCGAAGGAGGCUUACUGGACUGUAACUGACGUUGAGGCUCGAAGGCGUGGGGAGCAAACAGGAUUAGAUACCCCGUAGUC
RNAcentral lists this ribosomal RNA (439 nucleotides) under uncultured bacterium. Its description in RNAcentral is "partial 16S ribosomal RNA". It matches the Rfam family "Bacterial small subunit ribosomal RNA", at positions 338 to 795 of the family's 1533-position model. The record is from RNAcentral.